CAUUCCUCCGCACCCAUUCCUCGCUCGUGUCCGUUCUGAGUCUCAAAUCAUGUCUCCGUUCUAAGUCUCAAAUGAUGUCUCCGUUCUAAGUCUCGACAACCUUCAAAUGCUUCUUCAAUAUUGUUUAUUCAUAGAUGUCGAAGAAGCACUCACAGAUCUCGUAUUCGAACGUUCACCAGUUUGUCAAUAGGUAUAAAUCUAUAUAAUCAAGCUGCAAUUCUCUCAAAGUUCUAUCAAGAUCUUUUGGUACAUCUUCCGGAGCAUGAUCUGUACACCUGCACAUCAUCUUAGUUUCAGGAUGAGUUGAAGAAGCAUAUAAUUGAGGCAGAAAGUUCACAAACCACUCAAGAUACUACCAAUUGGAAAAAUGAUAUAUACUCAAAAGUUAAAGGACCUGAAAAAAGAGGACGAGUGUGUUGUCUUGGAAAGCUUCCACGACAUGCAAGUUCAUACCAAAGCUCUACCAUAGACAAUAGAAUUCAAAAAUUAGAAAAUUUGCUUGGAAAUCUUGUUCCUGUCCUUCAAUCACGAUUUGUAGAUGAUCCACAUAUUAAUCAAGUUUUACGAGCUGUAUCUGAAGAGGUACCUACAAAUGUUUCAAAUGAUUCUAUUAGUGAAAAUCAUCAAACUACAAGAGACCCCAAAUGAGAAAAGUUGAUAUAGGAUUGGUGAAGGAUUUACAUGCAGUGGAUCAACAUAGAUGGCAAUACUUACAGGAUGACAUUUAUCAAUGCAAUAUGUUUUCCUUUUUUA
Cajanus cajan (pigeon pea) is the source of this 753-nucleotide long non-coding RNA. RefSeq lists it as uncharacterized. The record is from RefSeq and is a predicted model, not a curated record. NCBI's taxonomy places the organism in Eukaryota, Viridiplantae, Streptophyta, Magnoliopsida, Fabales, Fabaceae.